CUUGAAAAGAUCAUCAAGAGUGACAAUGGGAGGUUCUUGCUCCUCAGAGACUAGAGGAGGAGGGGGAGGAAGAGGAAGACGUUCUACGACAGGAGGUGGUUUGGCCAGAGGUGGUGGUGGUGGAAGAGCGGUUGGAGGUGGCCGCGAAAGAGUCUGAGCUUGUGGCUGAUGCUGAUGCUGAGGCUGAGGAGGAGGAGGUAGAGGAGCUUCCAGUUUUGCUUUUACUUCUUCUGGUCUGACAAAUUCAGCUAUCAGAUGGCGGCCUCCAUUAGGUGGCCAUU
Molecule: long non-coding RNA, 281 nt
Filed under: Arabidopsis lyrata
Lineage: Eukaryota; Viridiplantae; Streptophyta; Magnoliopsida; Brassicales; Brassicaceae
Description: long non-coding RNA (ALYR_LNC000733)
Source: RNAcentral